RNAcentral lists this ribosomal RNA (1444 nucleotides) under uncultured organism. RNAcentral's name for it is "partial small subunit ribosomal RNA". It matches the Rfam family "Bacterial small subunit ribosomal RNA". The record is from RNAcentral.
CUCUGGACGAACGCUGGCGGCGUGCUUAACACAUGCAAGUCGAACGGAAAGGCCCUGCUUUUGUGGGGUGCUCGAGUGGCGAACGGGUGAGUAACACGUGAGUAACCUGCCCUUGACUUUGGGAUAACUUCAGGAAACUGGGGCUAAUACCGGAUAGGAGCUCCUGCUGCAUGGUGGGGGUUGGAAAGUUUCGGCGGUUGGGGAUGGACUCGCGGCUUAUCAGCUUGUUGGUGGGGUAGUGGCUUACCAAGGCUUUGACGGGUAGCCGGCCUGAGAGGGUGACCGGCCACAUUGGGACUGAGAUACGGCCCAGACUCCUACGGGAGGCAGCAGUGGGGAAUAUUGCACAAUGGGCGGAAGCCUGAUGCAGCAACGCCGCGUGCGGGAUGACGGCCUUCGGGUUGUAAACCGCUUUCGCCUGUGACGAAGCGUGAGUGACGGUAAUGGGUAAAGAAGCACCGGCUAACUACGUGCCAGCAGCCGCGGUGAUACGUAGGGUGCGAGCGUUGUCCGGAUUUAUUGGGCGUAAAGGGCUCGUAGGUGGUUGAUCGCGUCGGAAGUGUAAUCUUGGGGCUUAACCCUGAGCGUGCUUUCGAUACGGGUUGACUUGAGGAAGGUAGGGGAGAAUGGAAUUCCUGGUGGAGCGGUGGAAUGCGCAGAUAUCAGGAGGAACACCAGUGGCGAAGGCGGUUCUCUGGGCCUUUCCUGACGCUGAGGAGGGAAAGCGUGGGGAGCGAACAGGCUUAGAUACCCUGGUAGUCCACGCUGUAAACGGUGGGUACUAGGUGUGGGGUCCAUUCCACGGGUUCCGUGCCGUAGCUAACGCUUUAAGUACCCCGCCUGGGGAGUACGGCCGCAAGGCUAAAACUCAAAGGAAUUGACGGGGCCCCGCACAAGCGGCGGAGCAUGCGGAUUAAUUCGAUGCAACGCGUAGAACCUUACCUGGGUUUGACAUGGAUCGGGAGUGCUCAGAGAUGGGUGUGCCUCUUUUGGGGUCGGUUCACAGGUGGUGCAUGGCUGUCGUCAGCUCGUGUCGUGAGAUGUUGGGUUAAGUCCCGCAACGAGCGCAACCCUUGUUCACUGUUGCCAGCACGUUAUGGUGGGGACUCAGUGGAGACCGCCGGGGUCAACUCGGAGGAAGGUGGGGAUGACGUCAAGUCAUCAUGCCCCUUAUGUCCAGGGCUUCACGCAUGCUACAAUGGCUGGUACAGAGGGUGGCGAGCCUGUGAGGGUGAGCGAAUCUCGGAAAGCCGGUCUCAGUUCGGAUUGGGGUCUGCAACUCGACCUCAUGAAGUCGGAGUCGCUAGUAAUCGCAGAUCAGCAACGCUGCGGUGAAUACGUUCCCGGGGCUUGUACACACCGCCCGUCAAGUCAUGAAAGUUGGUAACACCCGAAGCCGGUGGCCUAACCGUUGUGGGGGAGCCGUCGAAGGUGGGACUGGUGA